RNAcentral lists this non-coding RNA (29 nucleotides) under Rattus norvegicus (Norway rat). The record is from RNAcentral. Lineage: Eukaryota; Metazoa; Chordata; Mammalia; Rodentia; Muridae.
UAAACUAAUGAGGAAUCUCCAUGGAAAAC